RNAcentral lists this ribosomal RNA (301 nucleotides) under uncultured bacterium. RNAcentral's name for it is "partial 16S ribosomal RNA". It matches the Rfam family "Bacterial small subunit ribosomal RNA", at positions 509 to 807 of the family's 1533-position model. The record is from RNAcentral.
CAGCCGCCACGGGAAAACGUAGGUGGCGAGCGUUGUCCGGAUUUAUUGGGCGUAAAGGGAGUGUAGGCGGUCUUUUAAGUCUGAUGUGAAAGCCCACGGCUCAACCGUGGAGGGUCAUUGGAAACUGUUAAACUUGAGUGCAGGAGAGAAAAGUGGAAUUCCUAGUGUAGCGGUGAAAUGCGUAGAGAUUAGGAGGAACACCAGUGGCGAAGGCGGCUUUUUGGCCUGUAACUGACACUGAGGCGCGAAAGCGUGGGGAGCAAACAGGAUUAGAUACCCCGGUAGUCCCUGUCUCUUAUAC